GAUGAACGCUGGCGGCGUGCCUAAUACAUGCAAGUCGAGCGAACGGACGAGAAGCUUGCUUUUCUGAUGUUAGCGGCGGACGGGUGAGUAACACGUGGAUAGCCUACCUAUAAGACUGGGAUAACUUCGGGAAACCGGAGCUAAUACCGGAUAAUAUUUUGAACCGCAUGGUUCAAAAGUGAAAGACGGUCUUGCUGUCACUUAUAGAUGGAUCCGCGCUGCAUUAGCUAGUUGGUAAGGUAACGGCUUACCAAGGCAACGAUGCAUAGCCGACCUGAGAGGGUGAUCGGCCACACUGGAACUGAGACACGGUCCAGACUCCUACGGGAGGCAGCAGUAGGGAAUCUUCCGCAAUGGGCGAAAGCCUGACGGAGCAACGCCGCGUGAGUGAUGAAGGUCUUCGGAUCGUAAAACUCUGUUAUUAGGGAAGAACAUAUGUGUAAGUAACUGUGCACAUCUUGACAGUACCUAAUCAGAAAGCCACGGCUAACUACGUG
RNAcentral lists this ribosomal RNA (497 nucleotides) under uncultured bacterium. Its description in RNAcentral is "partial 16S ribosomal RNA". It matches the Rfam family "Bacterial small subunit ribosomal RNA", at positions 28 to 507 of the family's 1533-position model. The record is from RNAcentral.